Long non-coding RNA from Oncorhynchus tshawytscha (Chinook salmon), 442 nucleotides. The record is from Ensembl. NCBI's taxonomy places the organism in Eukaryota, Metazoa, Chordata, Actinopteri, Salmoniformes, Salmonidae.
AAGGAGAAGGAGAAGAGGACCAAGGUGUAGCGUGGUAGAAGGAGAAGGAGAAGAGGACCAAGGUGCAGCGUGGUAGAAGGAGAAGAGGACCAAGGUGCAGUGUGGUAGAAGGAGAAGGAGAAGAGGACCAAGGUGUAGCGUGGUAGAAGGAGAAGAGGACCAAGGUGCAGCGUGGAAGGACCCACCAACGUGAGCUGAGCAGAUAACCAAUCAGGAUGCCAUUUCAAGGUUGGUCUCAACAUCACAGCCAAACUAAAGGAAGACAGACAUUCAAUGACUCACCACUGUCAAUGCAGUGCAUUGGUCUACAAAACCAGAUGAUUUCAUUUGAUGUGUUGUUUAUUGUCAAGGGGAAUACCAUUUUACAAUGUGGAAGAGGAAGGUAAUAUUUGUGAAAUAUUCACCUCCUAAGAAAUUUUCACCAUACACAUUUUAUUUUGUG